CCCUUAGAUGUUCUGGGCUGCACGCGCGCUACACUGAAGCUAUCAACACGUUUUCCCUCCCUGAGAAGGGCGGGUAACCUUUUGAAUCAGCUUCGUGGUAGGGAUCGGGGCUUGCAAUUGUUCCCCGUGAACCAGGAAUUCCUAGUAGACGCGAGUCAUAAGCUCGCAUCGAUUAAGUCCCUGCCCUUUGUACACACCGCCCGUCGCACCUACCGAUUGGAUGGUCCGGUGAAGCCUCGGGAUUGUGGCGGUUGCCUUUAUUGGUGGCCGCCGCGAGAACUUGUCUAAACCUUAUCAUCUAGAGGAAGGUGAAGUCGUAACA
This 322-nucleotide ribosomal RNA is filed under the name uncultured eukaryote. Its description in RNAcentral is "partial 18S ribosomal RNA". It matches the Rfam family "Eukaryotic small subunit ribosomal RNA", at positions 1470 to 1796 of the family's 1831-position model. The record is from RNAcentral.